UCAAGUGACUAAGUGCAUGUGGCGGAUGCCUUGGCGAUCACAGGCGAAGAAAGACGCGGCAGCCUGCGAAAAGCUGCGGGGAGCUGGCAAACGAGCUUUGAUCCGCAGAUAUCUGAAUGGGGGAACCCACACCGCAAGGUGUAUCCGUGACUGAAUACAUAGGUUACGGAGGCGAACGAGGAGAACUGAAACAUCUAAGUAUCCUCAGGAAAAGAAAUCAACCGAGAUUCCGGCAGUAGCGGCGAGCGAACCCGGAGGAGCCUAGCUUUUGAUAGUACGAACUUUAGCCGAAAGGUCCUGGAAAGGCCUGCUAUAGUGGGUGAUAGCCCCGUAGGCGAAAGAGUUCGUAUGGUACUAAGGAAGCGAGAAGUAGAGCGGGACACGUGGAAUCCUGUUCGAAGAUGGGGGGACCAUCCUCCAAGGCUAAAUACUCGUGAUCGACCGAUAGUGAACCAGUACCGUGAGGGAAAGGCGAAAAGAACCCCGGGAGGGGAGUGAAAUAGAACCUGAAACCGCAUGCAUACAAACAGUAGGAGCCUCGUCAGAGGUGACUGCGUACCUUUUGCAUAAUGGGUCAGCGACUUACAUUCUGUGGCGAGCUUAACCGAAUAGGGGAGGCGCAGCGAAAGCGAGUUCGAAAUGAGCGUCCAGUCGCAGGGUGUAGACCCGAAACCAGAUGAGCUAUCCAUGGCCAGGUUGAAGGUGUGGUAACACACACUGGAGGACCGAACCGACUAGUGUUGCAAAAUUAGCGGAUGAGCUGUGGAUAGGGGUGAAAGGCCAAACAAAUCUGGAGAUAGCUGGUUCUCCCCGAAAACUAUUGAGGUAGUGCCUCGUGUGUCGCUCCAGGGGGUAGAGCACUGUUUUGGCUAGGGGGACAUGGAGUCUUACCAAACCAAGGCAAACUCCGAAUACCUGGAAGCGUAAGCACGGGAGACAGAGCACCGGGUGCUAACGUCCGGACUCAAAAGGGAAACAACCCAGACCGCCGGCUAAGGUCCCCAAUAACAGCUAAGUGGAAAACGAAGUGGAAAGGCCGUGACAACCAGGAAGUUGGCUUAGAAGCAGCCAUCCUUCAAAGAAAGCGUAAUAGCUCACUGGUCGAGUCCUUCUGCGCGGAAGAUGUAACGGGGCUAAGCUGUUAACCGAAGCCGCGGAUGCACUGAUUAUUCAGUGCGUGGUAGGGGAGCGUUCUGUAAGUCUGCGAAGGCGGUUCGAGAGGACUGCUGGAGAUAUCAGAAGUGCGAAUGCUGACAUGAGUAACGUUAAAGCAGGUGAAAAGCCUGCUCGCCGUAAGCCCAAGGAUUCCUGCUCUACGUUCAUCGGAGCAGGGUGAGUCGGCUCCUAAGGUCAGGCCGAAAGGCGUAGCCGAUGGGAAUCAGGUUAAUAUUCCUGAACCUGCGUCAGAUGCGAUGGGGGGACGGAGCAUGAAAGAUCAUCCGGGUGUUGGAUGUCCCGGUUGACGAGCGUAGGAGGUCUGCAGGCAAAUCCGCAGACGCAUCUCCAAGGCAAAGACACGUGCCGCCACGGCGGCGAAGUGAUCGGAAGUGCUUCCAAGAAAAGCCUCUAAGCACCAGUCUGGCGCGGACCGUACCGCAAACCGACACUGGUGGGCGAGCUGAAUAUGCUCAGGCGCUUGAGAGAACUCGGGAGAAGGAACUCGGCAAAUUGACACCGUAACUUCGGAAGAAGGUGUGCCGUAGUACCGUGAGAGGAGAGACACCUUGAGCGGGAAUCGGUCUCAGAGAAUAGGUGGCUGCGACUGUUUAUUAAAAACACAGCACUCUGCAAAGUCGAAAGACGACGUAUAGGGUGUGAUGCCUGCCCGGUGCUGGAAGAUUAAUUGAUGGGGUGAGAGCCCUUGAUCGAAGUCCCAGUAAACGGCGGCCGUAACUAUAACGGUCCUAAGGUAGCGAAAUUCCUUGUC
RNAcentral lists this ribosomal RNA (1927 nucleotides) under metagenome. RNAcentral's name for it is "bacterial LSU rRNA". It matches the Rfam family "Bacterial large subunit ribosomal RNA", at positions 3 to 1973 of the family's 2925-position model. The record is from RNAcentral.